RNAcentral lists this ribosomal RNA (392 nucleotides) under uncultured bacterium. RNAcentral's name for it is "bacterial SSU rRNA". It matches the Rfam family "Bacterial small subunit ribosomal RNA", at positions 28 to 433 of the family's 1533-position model. The record is from RNAcentral.
GAUGAACGCUGGCGGUCUGCUUAACACAUGCAAGUCGAACGGGUUUAUUUCCUUAGGGGGAUAAAUUAGUGGCGGACGGGUGAGUAACGCGUGAGAAUUUACCUUUAGGACGGAGAUAACAGAUGGAAACAUCUGCUAAUCCCCGAUGAUCCAGCUUGCUGGUAAAAAGAUUAAUCGCCUAGAGAUGAGCUCGCGUCCGAUUAGCUAGUUGGUGGAGUAAAAGUUCACCAAGGCGACGAUCGGUAGCCGGUCUGAGAGGACGACCGGCCACACUGGGACUGAGACACGGCCCAGACUCCUACGGGAGGCAGCAGUGGGAAUUUUCCGCAAUGGGCGCAAGCCUGACGGAGCAAGACCGCGUGGGGGAGGAAUGCCUUAGGGUUGUAAACCCC